RNAcentral lists this unclassified non-coding RNA (421 nucleotides) under uncultured fungus. RNAcentral's name for it is "partial contains small subunit ribosomal RNA, internal transcribed spacer 1, and 5.8S ribosomal RNA". The stretch from base 1 to 73 matches the Rfam family "Eukaryotic small subunit ribosomal RNA", at positions 1759 to 1831 of the family's 1831-position model. The record is from RNAcentral. Lineage: Eukaryota; Fungi.
GCAAACUUGGUCAUUUAGAGGAAGUAAAAGUCGUAACAAGGUUUCCGUAGGUGAACCUGCGGAAGGAUCAUUAUUGAAUAAACUGGCUUGAUGGGUUGUCGCUGGCCUCUUGAGGCAUGUGCACGCCUGUCUUGACUCUAUUCAUCCACCUGUGCACCAAUUGUAGUUCUAUACUCUCUGAAGGUCAAGAAAGCAGGGUCUAUUGUUCAGUUGAAACAUACUGGAGUUGAGGAUUGCUCCUUAUGCUUUCCUCUGCUGACCUUUGUAGACUUGUAUUUUCUUGGGGAGAUGGAGCUAUGUCUUUUAUUAUAAACCAUGUAGUAUGUUGCCAGAAUGUAUUCAAUGGGCCAUUGUGCCUAUAAAACCUUAUACAACUUUCAGCAACGGAUCUCUUGGCUCUCGCAUCGAUGAAGAACGCAGC